This 496-nucleotide ribosomal RNA is filed under the name uncultured bacterium. Its description in RNAcentral is "partial 16S ribosomal RNA". It matches the Rfam family "Bacterial small subunit ribosomal RNA", at positions 28 to 506 of the family's 1533-position model. The record is from RNAcentral.
GAUGAACGCUGGCGGCGUGCCUAAUACAUGCAAGUCGAGCGAACAGACGAGGAGCUUGCUCCUCUGACGUUAGCGGCGGACGGGUGAGUAACACGUGGAUAACCUACCUAUAAGACUGGGAUAACUUCGGGAAACCGGAGCUAAUACCGGAUAAUAUAUUGAACCGCAUGGUUCAAUAGUGAAAGACGGUUUUGCUGUCACUUAUAGAUGGAUCCGCGCCGCAUUAGCUAGUUGGUAAGGUAACGGCUUACCAAGGCAACGAUGCGUAGCCGACCUGAGAGGGUGAUCGGCCACACUGGAACUGAGACACGGUCCAGACUCCUACGGGAGGCAGCAGUAGGGAAUCUUCCGCAAUGGGCGAAAGCCUGACGGAGCAACGCCGCGUGAGUGAUGAAGGUCUUCGGAUCGUAAAACUCUGUUAUUAGGGAAGAACAAAUGUGUAAGUAACGAUGCACGUCUUGACGGUACCUAAUCAGAAAGCCACGGCUAACCACGU